Talpa occidentalis (Iberian mole) is the source of this 115-nucleotide long non-coding RNA. RefSeq lists it as uncharacterized. The transcript is spliced from 3 exons. Lineage: Eukaryota; Metazoa; Chordata; Mammalia; Eulipotyphla; Talpidae. The record is from RefSeq and is a predicted model, not a curated record.
GACACUGAGAAUUAGCUAAGCAGAGCAUGAAAAGAAGAUGGGACAUUUGUCAACAAAACUCUCCAGCUGGCUUCUUUUAUAUGGUGCACCUGUGUCUUGGAAAGUUCACAGUGCU